GAUGAACGCUGGCGGCGUGCCUAAUACAUGCGAGUCGAGCGAACAGACGAGGAGCUUGCUCCUCUGACGUUAGCGGCGGACGGGUGAGUAACACGUGGAUAACCUACCUAUAAGACUGGGAUAACUUCGGGAAACCGGAGCUAAUACCGGAUAAUAUAUUGAACCGCAUGGUUCAAUAGUGAAAGACGGUUUUGCUGUCACUUAUAGAUGGAUCCGCGCCGCAUUAGCUAGUUGGUAAGGUAACGGCUUACCAAGGCAACGAUGCGUAGCCGACCUGAGAGGGUGAUCGGCCACACUGGAACUGAGACACGGUCCAGACUCCUACGGGAGGCAGCAGUAGGGAAUCUUCCGCAAUGGGCGAGAGCUUGACGGAGCAACGCCGCGUGAGUGAUGAAGGUCUUCGGAUCGUAAAACUCUGUUAUUAGGGAAGAACAAAUGUGUAAGUAACUAUGCACGUCUUGACGGUACCUAAUCAGAAAGCCACGGCUAACUACGUG
Molecule: ribosomal RNA, 497 nt
Filed under: uncultured bacterium
Lineage: Bacteria
Description: partial 16S ribosomal RNA
Rfam family: Bacterial small subunit ribosomal RNA
Source: RNAcentral